Molecule: ribosomal RNA, 408 nt
Filed under: uncultured bacterium
Lineage: Bacteria
Description: partial 16S ribosomal RNA
Rfam family: Bacterial small subunit ribosomal RNA
Source: RNAcentral
AGUGAACGCUGGCGGCGUGCCUAAUACAUGCAAGUCGAACGAAGUGGCGCACGGGUGAGUAAUAUAUAGUUAAUCUGCCCUACACAGAGGAACAACAGUUGGAAACGCCUGCUAAUACCUCAAAGUGUAGGAUGAGACUAUAUCGUAUCAGGUAGUUGGUAAGGUAAUGGCGUACCAAGGCUAUGACGCGUAACUGGUCUGAGAGGAUGAUCAGUCACAUUGGAACUGAGACACGGUCCAGACACCUACGGGAGGCAGCAGUAAGGAAUAUGGCGCAAUGGGGGAAAGCCUGACGGAGCAACGCCGCGUGGAGGAUGACACUUUUCGGAGCGUAAACACCUUUUAUCAGGAAAGCGGUACCUGAUGAAUAAGCACCGGCUAACUCCGUGCCAGCAGCCGCGGUAAUUC